RNAcentral lists this unclassified non-coding RNA (359 nucleotides) under Hevea brasiliensis (rubber tree). Lineage: Eukaryota; Viridiplantae; Streptophyta; Magnoliopsida; Malpighiales; Euphorbiaceae. The record is from RNAcentral.
AAGGUGAUAAACGAAUCAACCUGAGAACAGGAUCCAGGAGUUCCAUCUCUUCCAAAACAAAGAAAGGAACUUGCAUGAGGAAGUGAAGGUUGAUUAAAAAUGACCUCUAAAUGUGUCGAUGAAGCUCUGUUAAAAUUGAAAAUGAUACGAUGCUCAAAAGAUGCCACGGAUGGAGAAAGAACCACAUUUGAUUUAGUAAAGUAGAUUGAUCUCUCCUUCCAUGCUUCUCGUAUGAUUAAAUCAUGCAACAGAUCAUGAACCUCGCAUGUUUUGACUUUGCCACUUGAGGUCCUUUUCUUAACCAAUAUUAGACUUCUAUCUAUAAGAUCUUUUAGGUAUCCCUCAGCAACUUCUUCGAA